Molecule: long non-coding RNA, 5124 nt
Filed under: Sus scrofa (pig)
Lineage: Eukaryota; Metazoa; Chordata; Mammalia; Artiodactyla; Suidae
Description: lncRNA (ENSSSCG00035046730.1)
Source: RNAcentral
AAAUAUCUUUAAGUUCUUAUUCUGUUUUAGAGGGACCAAAAUGGAAAUGUUACCGAACCGAACUUGGGUCUGCUCGCCUGCUGCACAGAAAAGACAAUCUACUGACACCGGGUUGUGGUGAAGGAAAGUACAGCGUUUAUUUGCAGGGUGCCAAGCAAGGAGAACAAACAGGCAGCACGUGUUCAAAAGACCCGAACUCCCCCAUGGCUUUCAGGGAUGGGUUUAUUUCUUUAUUUCUUUCUUUUUUUUUUUUCUUUAAGGGCAACUUUUGGGGUGAGGGUUGCAGCUCAUGGGCUUUCUUUCUUUUGGUUGGUGGUACCUAACAAGAUGAUGUUUUGGAAAUCUUAAUCAUCAACCUUCAGGUUCCACCCAGUCUGGGGUCCACCUGUGUGUGGUCAGCAUGUAGUCACCAUCCUCCACCUGAGUGGAGGGGUGUAGUUUCUACAGAAAAGCUCAAAGAUAUGCAUCAGAUUGUUAUACAUAUUACUUGAGGAGGAAGUAGGGCUCUGUUUUAUCGCUGAACUGUUGUUUAAGCUAUUAUAACUUUCUUGCUCACCUGCAUUCCCUCACUUCCCUAAUUGGUAACUGUUUGAGUCUACUUUUUGGAACUCAGGAAAGGCCUAGGAGACUAAAACUUUUCUCCUACAAACAAGACAUGGGGGAUAUGGAGGAGCUUUUGUACCUGGGAGUGCCCCAUAUGGUCCUGCUUGGUCUCAAUCUCCUCUUUUCUUUGAUACUCCUCAAUCCUAAAGGGAGCAGGGGUGGGACAACAAAGGGAACACGUUUUGGAUAGAGAUUAAUCAUAAACUUGUUUGAGGAACUCGGUUUUAGGCAGACUUGGUUUUGGAAACUCCUUGCAGGUAAAUCAUGAUAUGGUUUAUGAAAAUAUGAUAAAAAAUAAGACUUGGAACUCUAGCUGUCGUAUUCACAAAAAGACCUCAAUGAAACUAAAAAAACCUAUCUUGACCGUAAACAUGUAUUUAUUUGUAUGUUUUAAGUUAGAUAAAAUAUUGAGGUUAAGUGUGUUCUGUAUUUUAAAAUUGUUUUAUUGAUUAAUAUUUAAAAAGUUAACUCACCAACUCCUGGGUCUUAUCUUGUCAGAUAAGAAGAUUUUUAUCUCACACUGAUAAAAUGAAAUUUUUGGAAUUCUGUAUAAUAUCAUAAACAGGUGCUUGUCAUAUAUGGUUAAAUGAGAGAGGAGGCCAUUCCAUUUUUGUAAAAACAUGUUUAGAACAGAGAAGAAUAUAAAAUGAAUGGUGGGUAGUGGGAUUGGUCUGAUUUUUAUGCUCUCAAUUUUAUUAUUUUUAUAAUUUUACUAUAAUUUUGUUUUACUUUCUUAAUACAAGUUAAUAAAAGUCACUCCUUAAAGAAACAAUUAAUGUGUGUUUUCCUAAUUUGUAAGUAUAAAUGAGACUGAGUCUUUGCUUAAGGGAUACUGACUCUUUAAACUUGGAUAUUUGGGUAUUAACUAAUUCUCUCAUAUUCUAGGAAAUAGUGCUGAAUAGUUAAACAGUUAUAUCCCUUAUCCUGUUGAAAGCCUUUGAAUAGGAAAGAACAUUGUUCCAGAAUUUUCUUAAAGCACUCUUUGAGUAUACUGAUUCCCAAAAACAUUUACACACUGUCUGAAGAUAAGGUCUAAAUCUUUCAUCUGCUUUUAAAUCCUGUCAUGUCAAACCUUAGUCUACUUUUCUUGCUUUAGUGCCCUUUAAAUUCUUAAAUGAAAUCUUAUUUCCAGCUAAACUUGUCAACUUGAUAUUUCCACAUGUUCCUUGUGCUUUCUUGCUUUUGUACUUUUGCUUCUUUGUGACUUGGAAUAUCUUUUCCUGAUGGUUAUGUGAGCAAAUUCUGGAUAAUGUCCAGCUAAAAAGCCAUAUCUACUGUGACAUCUGGUUUGUCCAGCUAAAACUGUAUUUUGCAACUACAUCCAUUUGCACUUAUUAUUUGUGCGUAGACAUUUCUCAGAUACCACCUGAUAUUUAUGCAUUUAUUUCCUAAUUCUGUUUUAAACUUCUCAAGAGCAAGAAAGCUUGUCUUGGAUUUCUCUCUAUCCCUUGAUGCUCCUAGCAUGGAACCUUGCGCUGGGUAGGUGCUGAAUGUUUAUUCCUUGAUCUUACAGUGGUGUCACUGGCUCUUUUGGGUCCAAGUGUUGGAAUUUUUUGUUACCCCCCAGUGAUCCUGGUUAGGGGGUAAACACUUUGCCCACAACAAUGUGGAGGAAAAAAAAAUUGGCUAAUUUGGCUUAAUUGUCAAUUGAUAUAGAGAGAUAAAGAAUUGACAGUAUUUUUUAUUAAAACUAACACAAGAGCUGAGAGUUGCAUGGUUCAGAACCUAAACUUAAAUUUCACGUAAAUAUUUCUUUGGAAAGUUUGAAAGUUCGUUUUGGGUUUGAUAGCCUCUUGGGUCUUAACCCUACUGUAGGCAAGUUAUGCCUUGUGUCCUUACAGCUACUUUUCCCAGAACCCAGAGAUCUAAACUAUUUGGUGGUGGGGUAUAUGGACAAUCGUCACUCUUUUCCAGAACAUUUUAAGAGGUCAUGUGGGAUUCAAUGAGUUAUAGUAUGUAAACUGCUUUAUGUUCAAAAGUUAAUAUUUUUUCUCUUGUUAAUGGAAACAUAAUUAUGUUACUUUUCAAACUUAAAUUGUGACUCGGGGGUACUUAUUUGGUUAAUGGCAGACACUUAACAGGGCUUAUCUUUUUUCUGUUAAACAGUUUUAUUUUAAUUUAUAGAUGUUUGCCAGGACUAAAUAUAGCUGAUGAAAUAUCUACCCUUUUCUGCUCAAGGUAAAUGAUUCGUUACUUUAUAAAAAUACCAGGAACCAAUAGAAUUCAGAGUUUGUAUAAAAAGACCCAUUUGGUGAUAUAAAGUAGUCUAAUUUUAGACCCCAAAGAAAUGAUUCCUUUAAGAAUUUUAUUGGUACGUGAAAGAUGACACACUAUUGGUUAAUUGUAUAUCAGGAUCACCUUGGAACAUUUAAAUUAUGUAUAAUAUGCAUGUGCUUGGCUUCCCCAGGGAAUUUUGAUUCCAUAAGUUUUUCAGAUGGAGUUUCAGCAUGUGAAUUUUUAAAAUGCCAACAGGUGCUUUUGAUUUAUUGCAGCUCCAUUAUGGCAUAUGUAUGACACUAGAGAUGAUGGAAAUUGCAGGCAAUAAUGCCAUGGGAGUUAAAGUACAUAAAGGUUAAAGAUCGAAAAAUAUUCAAAGUGUUUAGAUUUGUGCGUGUGUGAUGUUAGACUUUCAUUUUGCCUUUCAUUAAAUGAAUGUUUUAAUUAUAUUUGAAAUAAAGCACUAAAAAAUUUAUUUUGUGAUUUUCAGAGUUUAGGUUCUCUCUAGAGUUCUAGGGUUCUCUCAGCCUGAAAAAUGUCAUAUUUAUAAAUACAACUUAAAGCUUCUUUCUUUUUGUUGUUUCAGGUUAAUAAGUGAAGUAAAAGGAAAACAGACCAAAUUUUAAGUAAAUAAUUUCUUAAAUAUUCUUUAUUUCAGAAGCUGGAUUAAUUGAUUUAUUUUCCCUAGAAGUGUGAGAAGUCAGAAACUAUGAAAUUUUCUCAUAAUAAAAAGUAAUAGGUAAGUGAAUAUAAUGAAAGCAUUUUGAUUUAAUGAAGCUUUUCUAUUCUAAUUGGUUUUAGGCUAUGAUUUCUUUUCUCUUUUUUUGCUUCUUAGGACCACACCUGAGUCAUAUGGAAGUUCCCAGGCUAGGGGUCCAAUCAGAGCUGCAGAUGUCGGCUUCCACCGAUGUCAGAUCUGAGCCACAUCUGUGACCUACAUCACAGCUCAUAGCAACGCAGAAUCUUUAACCCAUUGAGCAAGGCCAGGAAUUGAACCUGAGUCCUCAUGGAUACUAGUCAGAUUCAUUACCACUGAGCCACAACGGGAAUUCCCUAUGAUUUCAUUUUUGAACACUGAUUUUAAUGAGUAAACAUCUGUUGCAGGAUGAUCUUAUGAAAAAUGCUUAUAACAUUAUGGGAUAAUUCUUUUUAUAUUUUUCAACAGACAAGAAUGCUUAAAAUAAUUAGAAUUAAAAUGUUGAUGAAAUUAUUUUGUACAAUUCUAUUUUCAUUUUCACAAAACAGUAAAAACACUUCAUUAUUAUUAUUUUAUUUAUUUAUUUACUUUUGGUCCUUUGUCUUUUUUGGGGCUGCACCUGCGACAUAGGGAGGUUCUCAGGCUAGGGCAGCUGUAGCUCCGAUUCAACCCUUAGCCUGGGAACCUUCAUAUGCCUUGGGUGCGGCUCUAAAAAGACAAAAAAAGAAAAAGAUGUUAUGUAUGACACUGAGAGUUCACAUAAUCUGGGAUUUUGUGUAGAAAAUAAUGGGAAAAUUAAUGAGCUUCAUUAGAGUGUAGUAAAUACACUAGAGCAACAACUUAGAAAUAGUAAUUUGUCUUUACAAAUUGAGUACUUUACUCAAUACUGAAUCAUUUCUUGAUAACUAGCAACUUUUCAGAAAAUUAAUAAACUCAGUCAUCUAGGCUUCAAAUAUUGGCAACAAAUUAUUCUUCUAGAAGAUGCAUAACUCUCAGAGAAAGACAAAUAUGUAUGAUAUCACUGAUAUGUGGAAUCUGAAAAAUAAAACUAGUGACUAUUACAAAAAAGAAAUAAUCACAGAUGCAGAGGACAAACUAGUGGUUACCAGCAGGGAUAGUAUGGAGGAGAAGGGUACCAUAGGAGCAGAGGAUUAAGCAGUACAAACGACUAUGUAAAAAAUAGAUCGGGUACAUAGAUGUAUAGUACAACACAGGGAAUAUAGCCAAUAUUUUAUAAUAAGUGGAAUAUAACCUCUAAAAAUUGUGAAUUGUCCUGUUGUACACCUGAAACAUAUUUUGUACAUCAACUACACCUCAGUUAAAAAAAGAAGAUGCAGGAGUUCCUGUUGUGGCACAGUGAUUAACGAACCCAACUAGGAACCAUGAGGUUGCGUGUUCGAUCCCUGGCCUUGCUUAGUGGGUUAAGGAUCCGGCAUUGCCAUGAGCUGUGGUGUAGGUUGCAGACACGGCUCGGAUCCCGCAUUGAUGUGGCUCUGGCUCUGGCUGGUGGCUAUGGCUCCGAUUAGAUCCCUAGCCUGGGAACCUCCAUAUGCCAUGGGUGCAGCCCUAGAAAAGACAAAAAAAGACAAAAAAAAAAAAAAAAAAAG